RNAcentral lists this ribosomal RNA (253 nucleotides) under uncultured bacterium. RNAcentral's name for it is "partial 16S ribosomal RNA". It matches the Rfam family "Bacterial small subunit ribosomal RNA", at positions 524 to 776 of the family's 1533-position model. The record is from RNAcentral.
UACGUAGGUGGCAAGCGUUGUCCGGAAUUACUGGGUGUAAAGCGCGUGUAGGCGGCAGACCAAGUCGGCGGUGAAAGCGCCCGGCUCAACUGGGCGAGGUCCGUGGAAACUGGUCAGCUGGAGGACGGUAGAGGCGAGUGGAAUUCCCGGUGUAGUGGUGAAAUGCGUAGAGAUCGGGAGGAACACCGGUGGCGAAGGCGGCCACCUGGACGGUAACUGACGCUGAGACGCGAAAGCGUGGGGAGCAAACAGG